UAAGACGUAUCUCGUGGAAACGUCUGCGUAUCUCGUGGAAACGCUAACUCAGCAACUCACUUGGAAAUUGCCUAUAUCUGAGCGACUCACUUGGAAAUCGCCUACACUUCAGCAACUCGCUUGGAAAUUGCCUACAUCUGAGCGACUCACUUGGAAAUCGCCUACACCUCAGCAACUCGCUUGGAAAUUGCCUACCUCUCCGCGACUCACUUGGAAAUCGCCUACACCUCAGCAACUCGCUUGGAAAUUGCCUACAUCUCCGCGACUCACUUGGAAAUCGGCUACACCUCAGCAACUCGCUUGGAAAUUGCCUACUACCUGCUAUGGCGUAUCUCGUGGAAACGCACCUCAUUUGUUAGGAAAACAAACGCAUCUUCAUCCCAUUUGGCUGACGAAAGAAGCCCGACAUCCCAAAUUUACCCCAAACUGGAUUUUUUAAAGGAGACUAUUUUGCGAUCCAUCAUGUUAUUAGCUAACUUUCAAAAUCUGAUAAUACACAACUUUAAAUUGACAAAUAAUAACUACAAUUGCUGUCAAUAAUACAAAAUCAAUGAAUAAGAAUUGUACUUUAAUUUAGAGUUAUAGCAGUAAUAGCACUAUCAAUUGUUUGUGGCAAGAAUAAACUGAGGAUAAUUUGGCGGAAUCGGGUGAGGAUGUUAGGCUGAAGAGAAGAUAUUGUCUCAAGCUCACGUGCGUGUUCCCAAUAAAUUCGCUCUUCUCUACUACAUCCGGAGCUCUUCUCCUAGUAGUGUUCGCUCUUCUCCACUACAUCCGGAGCUCUUCUUCUAGUAGUGUUUUCUGGCUUAACUAAUCUCUCAAUCACAUCCGGAGCUCCUCUCCUGUGAUUCCAUUUCCUCUAUCAUACCUCACAAGAACCUACUCUUUUAUUAACCUCUUGGUGCACCACCUCUGACUGUCAGCGCCGCAUCCCCCUGCUGUUAUUUCCCCAGUCAUCUGUCCUGCUCGCGUGGUGCACCGUCGUUCAUCUCCUCGCACCUGUACUUAAUUCACCAUACUCUUCCAGGGGUACUCGCACAUCUCUACAGCCCAGCACCCCCAAUUCCCCAAAUGAAAAUUCAUUAUCUAUGAGGCAAUAUUUUUGACGAGAACUACGACGAGAUAAUUCAACAUGCCAUAACAGGCUUAACAAAUAGACAUGAAAAAGAAACUACAUGCAAGUGCCUAUAAAUUAGCCUUUUACAAUUCGGGUAAUAAAAUCCCCAUUUGAUAAAACGAACAAUGGGCCAGCCUUAGCCCUUUCCUAAAUGGAGCUGUUUUGGAUGCCUUGAUGUUAAAUGUAAAUAGCAGUUCUGAAAAUAGAAGCCUGACCUUAUUUAUUAAUCACUCUAGGGCAAAUGUAUAAUGGCUAAUAUGGAAGAUUUCUUCAUAAAAAAUAUCAGAAACUUUUUUCAUUUGGAUUACUUUUACAUUAACAAAAUUAAAAAUUUGAAGAUAAACUUUUGGGAUUUUGUCAUUCAUUAGUUUUCAAAUUUCUCCCUGGAAAUUUUUAAGGUUUAAAACCCAUGUCCCACAGUAACUUUUUCAUCCUUAUCCUAAUGUUAAUACAUAAUCUAUGCAACAGCUUUGCAGUAAAAUUAAAACACAAGUUUUAACGAAUAGCGGCGAUAGAAAUGCUUUUUUAGAUCGUAUUUUAAAGUUUAAAAUCGAAAAGAGGCAAGCGGAAUUUAAUAGUUGUGAACAAUGCUUCUCGAAUGUUUCUUAGAUUAAACGCGCUGGAAUUUUUUUAAGUAAUUAAAUCAACAAUACAUUCCCGCGCAAUGCAUUAUAAAACUUCGCGAAAGAUUUUUAUUAUUUGCUCCGAUAUUUCUUCACGAGCGCAUUGUUUUUUAACACGCAAAUAUGAACUCGCAAAACGCUCAAGGGAUUUAAUUAUAACAAAAGACAAACGACUGCCGUCCUCCACGCAAAGGUGUGAUAUUAGCGUGUACGCGGUAGAUUACAUUCAGACUGUACUGUACUUAAUCACUCUACAAUGACACUUAUUUAAAUGCCUAAUAUAAAGGGAAUACAUAAAAUCGGAAGCAUAACCGUAUUUAUAUGCCCAACCAUUCUAAAUUAAGGGCACCGACAAUAAAAGCAAUUCCAGAUUUCCAAAUUGCACAAAAGAUAUAGCCUGAUCGAACAAUUUUGGGUAGCAUUCAAAAUACAGCUAUGUGAAAUGUUUAAAAAAUUGAUCCUAAAGACUGGAAACAUAUUGCAAAAAAAAAAAAAUUAAAAAAAAUCCAACUUAAAGUGAGGUAGGAUCGCCUAAGUAGAAAUUGCCAAUGAGAAGAUCAUGUGGAUCUAAACUAGUAAUCGGUUGAAAGCAACGCAUAAUUUUUUUAUUGGCGUUUAAAAAGGUUCCUUGCGCCCAGGAGUCGAGUUAAAAUUCAUCUAAACUACUCAGGAGUGUUUCACGAGGCUCAACUCUCUGGUUUCACGGUAGUUUAACUACAUUUUGCCGCUUUUUGCCGAUUGUUGCGCGAUUCCUUGUUUUCUGCCGUAAAAUAGUCGACUUCGGCGGCAGCCGUAGUGUGGACUUUUGACCCUCUUGGAAACAAACAAAUAAUUUUACGCCAAGAAGAAUCGCGCCGAAGUGUGGACUUUUGGACUCUUGUAAAACAAAGAAUAUGUGACGUCAAGAAGAAUCCCGCCGAAGUUGUCGAAAUUUACAGUAAAGAAAGAUUGAAAUUAAUUUACUCUACCUAUUGUUAUUGCCUCCCGGUAGCCGGUCGGUUGGAUAGGGUAGGAUUUAACAUGUCUAAAGGCUAAGAAAGUUUUGUAUUGACUUGCAGCAAGUAAAUGGAAGGCUUGAAUAUAUGAUUGCGGAAUGAAAUUGAGCAAUGUUGCUAAAAAGAGGCAUGACUGGAAAACAUUUAUUCUCUGUGUUGCCUGGGAUUGCAGAAGAAAGCAGUUUGGCAAAAUAAACAGACUUUUUUGAGUUAACAAAAUUAUAGCAUUAACUUUAUAAUGACAACGUUUUCAGAUUCAAAGCUCCUGGCAAUAAACACUUUUUAAACGAUUUCUUAAAAUGCCACAAGGCCACAGACGAGAACACUAGUCGUGACUAGUUUUGGGAGAAUGACUUCGACAAGACUUGAUGAUGAUUGGUUUAAAAGCUCUAAUCUUAUAUCGAGAUAAUUCCUGGGAACGAUGUUAAUUAUAAAAAUUAGGAAAAAAGCAUGGUUUUAAUUAAUGGGUGAAAUGACGAAAGUUUUUCACAUUUCACUAAAGAAGUUAUGCUGACAGGCAUGGAAAAUGUUUGUGGUUCUACCAACAUAACGAAAUGACUUAGCAUAUAUACAUAUACAACGCUAUCAUGAUGGACACAAAAUGUGUGUAGUUAACGAUAUCUGUUUUUAAAUGAUUUGUUUUGUUAAAAAUUUCAAGUAGUUAGUGUUUAUCGCAUAACAGCUAGGUAUUUCCAAGUUUGAUUCAACAUUUUAGAGUCUUAGCCAAUAAGGGCUACAUAUUUUUGACUGAAUGUUGUGCUAAAUCAGUGGUCAUUCACUUGUUGUGGUAGGUUGUGUUGUUUUUAAUUAGCUAUUGCUGCGUAAAAACCAAAUUUUAUAUAGCGGCCUCUACUUGUGCAAAAUCAUGAUAUAAUUUUGCUAUUUUUAUUUUAUUUAUCUGUUGUUGUUUAUGGUGUACUAUGAUCUAAUAAUACAAAUAAAGCCUAUUUACAAUGCAGUUUGUGUUGUUGUUGUUGCUUAUUUCUCUAUCUUUCUCCUUUUCCAUGUGAUUAAAUGUUUCAAAUAGAUUAAAUAUCAAAAGUUUUAUUAGUAAUAGAUACCGUUUUGCUUGUCUUUUACAGAAUAUAGUUUCUCCAAAUUUAUAGCCUGAAUAUUGCCCCCAAAGCAAUUAUAUUAACCAAUAACUUACGAAAACAAGCCUGCAAAUAUUAUUCUGGAUGUGGAAAAAAGAAGUUUUUCUGGCUAGGUAAGUAUAGUCUAUUAUAAGAUUAAAAAGGGAAAACACGGGGCAAAAUUUUCACGCAGAUACAAUUUGCUAUAUACAGGUUAGAGCAGGAUCGUAUCAUGAUCGUCUAUCGCGGUGAAUGAACAUAAACAACACUAUACAUAACAUAACGAGUUAUCAUAAUGGCAACCUAGCUACAAGGUUGGCAUUACUUGUAUAAAAGCCAUAAUGGCUCUAGGGUGGUUAAAAAGUGACAGUUUCUGGGCUCCUAACAUGAUAUAAUAUAUAAAAUGAAACAAACCGACCUGGAUACUUGCAAUAUCUGUCCUGAAGAAAUAUCUGAAGGCCCCUCCUGAUACCAGAGGCACACGAUCCGAAAUCUGCUAGAGUCACCGGCCGUCAUUGGACGCGCUGCCAUUAUAGUAAUUGAAGCCAAAAGAUGGAGUUGACGAUAUUAGUAGGUUGCAGUGAUAGAUGAUGAUGAUGGAAAACCAAACUCCACUAUGCAUUUCUAAAGCAUGCCGUGCACUCUUCUAUUUCUGUAUGUUUUUGCUAUUCCAAAGCUGUAUAUCUUCGCGCGGCUUGUAAAAUUUUAUGCAAGGAAAAGUGUUAUGUGACCAAACCAAACUAUUAGCAAAAUGUGAUGAUGGAAACUAGUUGACUUUAGCUGCUCCCAUUUUAUAGGUAGGCAAGGCAAUCUUAGGGGCCUGGAUCUACAACAGUAUUGGUUAGUUACCUUGAGGGCCCCUAGUGUUCAUGCCUUGUGACCACCCUUUUCACUAGUCUACCAUUCUAGAUUUGGAAUAACAUUGAGUUUCUAAAGUAUAUCCUUCAAUGAUGCUAGUAGCCAUCUUUGUUGACACUUGAAUACUGAAUGCAAUCAAAGCCAAGCCUCUCAACAAGGUAUAAGUACUUACUUCAGGAACCGCAAUUAACAUGUGGUGAACUGUUGGUCCACCACCAUGUAAACCUAACAGAUUAUUGGAAACUUUGAUAUCUUACCUUGAGGCAUAUUUAUACAUAAUAAAUUGCUAACAUACAUGUAACAGUAGAAACCUCUGUUCUCCUAUAAAGAGCCUUUGAGACUCCUAUAGUGAGAUUUUUUAGUUCACAAAGAAACACAUUAAAAGAGACCUACGUUUAUCAAGAUCUAUGUUUAGAUUCAGGAUCUUUUUCAGACCAUUCGCGUUUUUCUUCUCCCUUUUUAUUAACUUAUUUUUAGGGGAUUACCGUAACAUAGCCCAUCAUCAACCCCGCGCACACGAUCCCCGAAAUGUAAAGGAAUGUCAAGAACCGUAAUAAUUUAAUAUUUGGAUUGAAACAUUUAAUAACUUAUGAAAUAUUUAUAGCCAUUUUUUGCUAAGGGCCGGCUUUCUUUUAGGGCUCAUUUUGAGAGCGCGCUACAAUGAAAUUGAUUACCCUUAGUAAAUAAUUAACGUAUAGCGUCAGAAAAAUUUUACACAAACAGAAAAACCUCUUCAAAAUUUGUUAUUGUUAACCUGACAUAUCCAACUUCAAGAAAUAACCAGGAAGGAGAUCUGGAAAUAAAAAAGAAAAGUUGUUUUUUCUAAAAAUACUAAAUUAGAGUUUUUAACUCUAAAUUUAAGUUUUUAAUUUUAAUACCUUUUUUAAUUGCGAUAGCGCGAUGUUUUGGUUUCGGCUCAGCCCUACGGCAUUCAAAAGUCACAUUAAUAAAGUUAUUUUAAGAUAACAAGUGCUAUCUUAAGAUAACUCUAUUAAUGUGAUUUCGGAAUGCGUGUAUAUUCACAUAAAUGUCCUGAUUGUAAGAUAACUCGAGUUAUUUUAAGAUAACAUAAAUGUGAUAAUUCUAUCUUUUCUAAUGCGCAUAUGUGUAAAUGAACGUUGCUUAGGGUGCGGAUACGUAAAGUAGCUCACCAAAUAACAGCCUACAUGAAUUUCCGGCCGUAUUGACAUUUAUUUUGAUACGUCAUUUGUAUUGUACUUGUGGUGUCGCGUAUGUGCUCUGCUGUAGAGUUCGCUCUGCGGUGGAGAACAAGAUGCAUUUUGUUAGUUUUGUGUUGUGAUGUAUUGUCCCGUGUUAAUUAUGUAAAGAGAAUAAUUGUAAUUUUGGUACUAUUUUUAGUUAAAUUUUCUGCACAUCUUGCACAUCUUUUUUUCUGCGCAUUCAGUCUUCACCAUGUAAUGAGAGAGUCGAACAUACAUUUUUGUAAUAAAUUCGCUGUUGAGUGAAAUUUUUCUUUCAUACAUCACAGAAGUUGUCCUGUAUCUCAGCAUCUGUUUUAGUUGUUUUCUCUCACUUGUAGUUGGCUUGGCUUACGCCACUAUAUUUCUAGUUGAAUCUUGGCAUUCAUUUUUUUGCUUUGCUAAAUUGUAUUUUUGGUAAUAUAGAACAGACAGCCAAUUACUGAUAUGAAAAAUCGUAAGAAUAAUAUCAAACGAAGAUUCAUACAAUGUGAAUUGAAGAAACUGAUUACAUUACAACGAACGAGUGAAUGAUCAGUAAAAAACAAUCUAAGAAAUGUAUGGAUGCUGAGUCGUUUACAACACAUGUAAAAAAGUGAGCCAAAUAUAAUUUUUUUAAAAAAAUCUGCCGAAUUUAUGGAUACUGUGUCGUUGAUAGCAAGCACAAACUGUGUAUUUGCUUUCCCCUCUUUCCCCUUUAGCGAAUGUGUGCAUGAGAGUUCUGUAACCAUGGAACCAAUAUACGUCUUAUGUGCCUUUAACAGAACACUGUGUGGUGAAAAUCAAUAUAAGAAUUGCGUCAAUGCUGUGGCGGUUUCACGCGCUGUUAGUAAAAGUAUGGAUGCUGUUUCUAACAAAACAUUAUAAUCAAUGCAAAAUGUUAUUUUUACAUUUGUUAAUGCUCGGGAACUGCAAUCUUUCUAAAAAGAGUAUGAAUGUCAUGUCAAGCAAAAAAGGUGUACUAAGCUAUGUUGUGGAAAUCAUUGCAGCAAAUAUAAGGUCGUGUUCCCAUAAGUUCUUAUAAAGAUGAUGGAUUUAGUGCAGCUCUGUCGAUAGAGCGUUUGAAUCAUCUCCUCUACUUGAGAUUAAAAGUUCAAUGUCCCCCCAUUGUCUAGUUAGUUUGUCAUUUCAUAAAGAUUUUUGUAGCAAUGGGAGCUAAACACUGGAAACCUGGUCCAUCCUGAAAUCCAUUGAGCACAGACCACAUUAAAUAUAAAUCACCAUCAGUGGUUUGAGGCAGAAUUGUAAGAGAAUUUACAUACUGGAUGGUUCUUUUGUUAUGAAAGUUUUUUUGCAGUAACUUUAAUGACUAGGGUGUCUUUUUAUGCCACUACCUGUACACAUGAUAGAGCUUAAAAGUACUGCCAAACUCUUUUUCCAUGUAUUG
Molecule: long non-coding RNA, 7249 nt
Organism: Hydractinia symbiolongicarpus
Lineage: Eukaryota; Metazoa; Cnidaria; Hydrozoa; Anthoathecata; Hydractiniidae
Exons: 4
Source: RefSeq, a predicted model, not a curated record